RNAcentral lists this ribosomal RNA (466 nucleotides) under uncultured soil bacterium. RNAcentral describes it as "bacterial SSU rRNA". It matches the Rfam family "Bacterial small subunit ribosomal RNA", at positions 26 to 494 of the family's 1533-position model. The record is from RNAcentral.
AGAUUGAACGCUAGCGGGAUGCUUUACACAUGCAAGUCGAACGGCAGCGCGGACUUCGGUCUGGCGGCGAGUGGCGAACGGGUGAGUAAUAUAUCGGAACGUGCCCAGUAGCGGGGGAUAACUACGCGAAAGCGUGGCUAAUACCGCAUACGCCCUACGGGGGAAAGGGGGGGAUCGCAAGACCUCUCACUAUUGGAGCGGCCGAUAUCAGAUUAGCUAGUUGGUGAGGUAAAGGCUCACCAAGGCGACGAUCUGUAGCUGGUUUGAGAGGACGACCAGCCACACUGGGACUGAGACACGGCCCAGACUCCUACGGGAGGCAGCAGUGGGAAUUUGGACAAGUGGGGGAAACCUGGAUCCAGCCAUCCCGCGUGUGCGAUGGAAGGCCGUUCGGGUUAGUAAAGCUACGUUUUGGCGAGGAAGAACGGCGUUAGACUAAGUAUUCAGUCGCCACUGACGUACCGUG